Acinonyx jubatus (cheetah) is the source of this 3944-nucleotide long non-coding RNA. RefSeq lists it as uncharacterized. NCBI's taxonomy places the organism in Eukaryota, Metazoa, Chordata, Mammalia, Carnivora, Felidae. The record is from RefSeq and is a predicted model, not a curated record. The transcript has 2 exons.
CGGGUGAGGACAGAUUAAAAUCGCUAAUCAGAAAAGCACGCACCUCUUCAAAGCAGCACACUAUGGGCGCUGGGGCAGGAACGAGUGGCUCUAUGUGUGCCAAAAUGCUGUUCCCUGAUCCCCCACCCACCAGGCAAUGGUGGGAAUGCCCUGGGAGGCUCACAGCUCCCAGGAAGCUAGAGGUCUGGAGGAAGCUGGAGGUAUUCAUGAUCACAGCAAUGGUGCUUAACAGAGCCAAAGUGAUCCCAACGCGAACAUAUUUCCUAACGAUCUGACCAUUUAUAAAAUUAAUCCCCAAACACCCCUCCUCUUAACAUCCAUCCCUAUGUGAACGACAUCUAACCACAAAAUGGAAACAUGGUGGAUGGUAGACAGCUGCGACGGAUUCAUUUUCCUCUGGGCCUGACAGGACUACAUUUCCCAGCCUCCUUUGCAGUUAGGUUGGAGCCUUGUGACUAACUCUGGCCAAUGGGCUGUAAGCAACCCUGGCGCGCAUUUCCCGGCUGAAGAGGAGGUGUGCGUCCUCCCACAUCCCUCCCCCAUGAAGUGGCCGGGAUGGUGCAGCCACCACUCGUUGAAGCCUCACGCUCUGGACAGAUACUGUGAUUGACGAAGAAGCCUUUGGAUGUUAAGCCACUGAGAUCUCAGGCUAAACUUUUUACUCUGGCUGGACAGUCUGCAUACUCCGCCAUAGGAAGCGACAGCAAAGUGAAAUUGGAACUCUUGCCGAAGAGCUAGGGUUGUAGCAAGUGGAUGAAAGUGACACUGGAGAGCUGCUCAAAAGCACCAAAGGCAUUCGUCCCCGGGAGCCUGUCUUUUCUGACCAUGCUCUCUCACUCACGGGACUCAUCAUUCCCUCAUGGGGGGCAGAGGCUCGUGGGCUCACACGGGGGGACUCCCCAAGACCUAGGACUCCCUAACAAUGAGCCAGGAGCCGCGGCCCCAGAGUUCGGCCUGCGCGGUCCCAGCGGCGAUUCUGCGCAUCAUCGCUCGGGAAGAAUCCGUGAACCAGCUCAGAAAUUCUUCCAAUUCUUGUUAAAAGGACAAAUACUCCUUUGUUUACGCCUGCAUCAUUUUUAGCCGCCAUCGUAGGCUGCCUCCAAACAGAUGUGUUUCUGACCCUUACCAGAAAGCCAACCUAAUCAGGCAGGGCCAUAAAUGCCAGGGGAUAAUGGACUUAAUAUAUUAUCCAGUUCAGAUGACACAAAAGCAUAUGGACACAUAACUAAAACUUUCCAGAAGAGGGGAGAAAGGCUCUAACUCUGGUUUCUCCGAAGUGUGGAAUUCAAAUGCUAUAGGGCAUGGCUUGGGUUGAUACGUUGAUUGAUAGGGCAUUAAAUAACACUGAACCACGAAGAAAGUCCCCACUCCAAUCCUUCUGAGUCCACCAAGGAAAAAGAGCCAGUUCGGUGUUAGCCUGUCUCAAACACUUGCCUUUUUUUUUUUUUUUUUACAAAAAGAAUAAGCAGAACUUUGGGUAGGUCAUAGAGUGUAGCCAGAAUUUAAGAAUUUAAAAGGUUCUUUUCAUAAGUAACACUACUUACAGUAGUAAUAUGAAAUAUCCUUUUAAAACAAAUUUGAAGUUUUUUUAAAAAAAAAGUUUAUUUUGAGAGACAGGGAGAGAGAGAGAGAGAAGCAGAGAGGGAGAAAGAGAGAACCUCAAGCAGGCUCCGCACCAUCAGCAUGGAGCCUGAGGCAGGGUUUUAUCCCAUGGGCUGUGAGAUGGUGACCUGAGCCCAUCCCCAGAGUCAGAAGCUUAACUGACUGAGCCACCCAGGCGCCCCAAAACAAAUCUGAAGUUUGAAAAGUGAAUCAUUUAAGAAAAAUAUGUAAAUAAAAGGACGGGAGGUCUUCAGUGUUAGCAAAAAGCCUGAGGGUGGUUCUAGAACGCCUAAUGUCUGGAAGGCACUGCUUUAACACUUGGGAGUGAGUUCGGUUGGAAUUCCAGACAUUAUGAAGGAGCUCCCGCAGAGGAGACGAUAGGUUUUUACAAAAUGUCUUGAGUCCAGUGUAAGACAAAGAUCUAGGGGCAAACAAGGGUGGCUACAGAUUGGUUUGAACUGUUAGGUGUCCAGGAAAAUUCGGGAAUAGAGAAGUAAAUGCAACCUACUUAGUGCUCCCCCACGAUGAUGUCUCGAUCUCCCAUAAAAGCAAAAUGGGACAAAAAGAACUUGUGGACCUGACACACGGCAAGUGACCUCACCACAGGCUUUGGAAGAAACCAUUUAUAAGUAGGAGAGAUCCCAGAAACCUUUAAAGAAGGGCCCUUCACUCCUGCACCUUUACGUCAAGGGUCCCUUUACCACUAUCUCUGAGGCCAGGCUCCUACUUCCUCUCCUUCAGGGAACCCCUCUUCCCAGUUUCCUCUGUGUCCUUCCAGAAAUAGUUAUGUGGGAACACUUAUUCCACACUCUUCCGGUUUCCGUGUGGAGGGAGUUGCACCUGGGUGACACUUCCGGCCUCCUGCUCCGCCCCUCACCUGCUCUUCCGCUCCUGAUUGGAGGGGGCAUCCAGCGCCCACCUUCCGGAUUGGUGGAGCUCAGGGCGCGCUGCGCGGUGCUUUGCUCUGCCGCACACCUCCUCCCUACCCAGGGGAGCGGGAGUGUCUGCUCCCCUCGAGCCCCACUUUCCCUUCACCGAAGGGGGAGCCGGGUGUGGAGUCGGGAGCCCAUUCUCCAGCCUAGUUUCCCCACCAGUAAUCAUUCUCUUCGGGCGCGCAGGAUUCCACUUCGUCGUUGGCAUGGCCGCCUGGUGUUGGACUGUGUGGCUGAAGCCAGUCUGCUCAACUGGUUCCUUGCUGAUGGCCAUUGAGGUCCUUUCCAGAUGUCCUGCUAUUGCACGCCGGACUGCCCAGGGAUAUCCUUACACUUAUUUCCUUUUAAUAUUUUAUUUUUAAGCGAUCUCUACACCCGGCCUGGGGCUCGCACUCACAACCCUGAGAUGCAGGGGUGCAGUCUCCACCAACUGAGCCAGCCGGGCGCCCCCUUACGCUGCUCUCCGCGGAGUCCUAGAAGUGGGGGUGCUGCGUCAAAGGAACACUGUUACAGUUACGAGCCCGUGGUGAGACGUCCCUCGUGGGGUAUUCGACCCAGCCAGGCCCUCUCUCCCAGCCCCGGCCUCCUCUGCCCUCUGCCAGCUGCUGUUGCCACAUGACAAGAAAGACGGGCAUUCUUCAGGGAGGACUAGCGAACUUGCCCCUGACCGCGACAGCGCAUAGGAAUGCACGCGUGCCCCCAAGACAGGGAGGAGGUCCAGCAGGUCCCGGGGAGAGGGUGCGCCGAGGGGUCACCCACGUGAUUCUUCAUGAUUAAAGGUCGAGCUGCAGUUUACACGGCGUGUCUUGUGUUGGACCUUCAUGUCAGCCCUGUGAAGCCGGCAGGGCAAGGUAUCAUUAUCCCCACUUUACAGAUGAAAGACUGAGGCUCACAAAGGCUGCAGGUGAUUUGCCAAAGUUGGGCAGAGCUGGGACUCCAACCCCCUAUUUUCCACCUUGGGCUCCAGGACAUUUUCUGCUGCCCUCCUCCCCGCUCACGUGGUUAGGGCCUAAUGGAAAUCACACAGCAGCCUAGUUAACAUCAGGUGACAGGGCUCAGGAAGCGUCAAGCCAUCCCUGCAUCCUUGACCUUUAGUGGGACUUCCUUCAAUCUUUGCAGCAGACGGGCGGAAUCUGGGGAGGCAGCAUGUCUCUGCAUAGGCCCAUGAGCUACGGCUGGGAUAGGACGGGGCUUAUUAGAGAGGGUCUGAUUAAGAAAUACGUUCUAGGGGCGCCUGGGUGGCUCAGUCAGUUCAGCGUCUGACUCUUGAUUUCAGCUCAGGUCACAAACCCAAGGUCAUGGGAUCGAGCCCCACCUUGGGCUCAGCACUGACAGUGUGGAGCCUGCUUGGGAUUCUCUCUCCCUGUCUCUCUGCUCCUCCCCUGUGUGCUUGCUCUCUCUCUCUCUCUC